This 684-nucleotide long non-coding RNA is filed under the name Malus domestica (apple). Its description in RNAcentral is "long non-coding RNA (MDOM_LNC011251)". The record is from RNAcentral. Lineage: Eukaryota; Viridiplantae; Streptophyta; Magnoliopsida; Rosales; Rosaceae.
CGGCCUUCUGCACACAAGUUACGCUCUAGUGCUUCUCUCAUCAAUCAUCUGUGCACAUAAUCUAAGGUCACCUACCAGUCGGAACCCCUCUAACGGUCUGUACGACUGGCAUGUCGGAACCACCCCCGGUGGUCUGUACGACUAGCAUCUACUUGGAUCCAAGGCGAGCGUGCGAUGCGGUGAAUACUAUAAGCACUAAACUAUGGUGCAGGAUUUGAGCUCAAUAUAUAUCAUCAUCAUCAUAACAGUAAUUAAAUACUCAUCUGUGCGUCCACCGCACCAUUUCAUACAUAUGCAUCAUAAAUCAAUUCUUACCUGUGCGUCCACCGCACCAAUUCAUACAUAUUCAUCAUAAAUCAAUUCUUACCUGUGCGUCCACCGCACCAAUUCAUACAUAUGCAUCAUAAAUCAAUUCUUACAUGUGCGUUCACCGCACCAAUUCAUACAUAUGCAUCAUAUAUUAAUUCAUGCAUGGCAUUUCAACUCACAUUUCUAUAUACUUUUCAUAUCAAUUCUAUGCAUGGUAUUUCAUUUCCCGUUUUUCCACAUAACUCAUAUGCAUUUCAUUUUAAACAUAUUUUCAUUUCAAUUCAAUUUCUGGGAAACGUCAAGUAUAUAUAUAUACGGAAAACAAAACUGCCCACUCACAGAAUACAUCGACGUGUCGUAGGUCCCUGAGCCUCC